CCGGCGACGAGUGGCGAACGGGUGAGUAAUACAUCGGAACGUGUCCGCUCGUGGGGGACAACCAGCCGAAAGGUUGGCUAAUACCGCAUGAGUUCUACGGAAGAAAGAGGGGGACCCGCAAGGGCUUCUCGCGAGCGGAGCGGCCGAUGACUGAUUAGCCGGUUGGUGAGGUAACGGCUCACCAAAGCAACGAUCAGUAGCUGGUCUGAGAGGACGACCAGCCACACUGGGACUGAGACACGGCCCAGACUCCUACGGGAGGCAGCAGUGGGGAAUUUUGGACAAUGGGCGCAAGCCUGAUCCAGCUAUUCCGCGUGUGGGAUGAAGGCCCUCGGGUUGUAAACCACUUUUGUAGAGAACGAAAAGACACCUUUUAAAAAAGGGUGUUGCUGACGGUACUCUAAGAAUAAGCACCGGCUAACUACGUGCCAGCAGCCGCGGUAAUACGUAGGGUGCGAGCGUUAAUCGGAAUUACUGGGCGUAAAGGGUGCGCAGGCGGUUGAGUAAGACAGAUGUGAAAUCCCCGAGCUUAACUCGGGAAUGGCAUAUGUGACUGCUCGACUAGAGUGUGUCAGAGGGAGGUGGAUUCCACGUGUAGCAGUGAAAUGCGUAGAUAUGUGGAAGAACACCGAUGGCGAAGGCAGCCUCCUG
RNAcentral lists this ribosomal RNA (651 nucleotides) under uncultured beta proteobacterium. RNAcentral describes it as "bacterial SSU rRNA". It matches the Rfam family "Bacterial small subunit ribosomal RNA", at positions 85 to 731 of the family's 1533-position model. Lineage: Bacteria; Pseudomonadati; Pseudomonadota; Betaproteobacteria. The record is from RNAcentral.